GGUGCAGGCGGUUCUUCAAGUCAGAUGUGAAAUCUCCCGGCUUAACUGGGAGGGUGCAUUUGAUACUGUUGGACUAGAGUGCAGUAGAGGAAGGUGGAAUUCCCGGUGUAGUGGUGGAAUGCGUAGAUAUCGGGAGGAACACUAGUGGCGAAGGCGGCCUUCUGGGCUGUUACUGACGCUGAGACCCGAAAGCGUGGGGAGCAAACAGGAUUAGAUACCCUGGUAGUCC
RNAcentral lists this ribosomal RNA (229 nucleotides) under uncultured bacterium. RNAcentral describes it as "partial 16S ribosomal RNA". It matches the Rfam family "Bacterial small subunit ribosomal RNA", at positions 568 to 796 of the family's 1533-position model. The record is from RNAcentral.